Molecule: ribosomal RNA, 493 nt
Filed under: uncultured bacterium
Lineage: Bacteria
Description: bacterial SSU rRNA
Rfam family: Bacterial small subunit ribosomal RNA
Source: RNAcentral
AACAAACGCUGGCGGCGUGCCUAACACAUGCAAGUCGAACGCGAAAGGGACUUCGGUCCUGAGUAAAGUGGCGCACGGGUGAGUAACGCGUGGGUAAUCUGCCCCUCAGUUGGGAAUAACCCAUCGAAAGGUGGGCUAAUACCGAAUAAUGCUGUAUCGCCUCGGUGAUUCAGCCAAAGACGGCCUCUGCUUGCAAGCUGUCGCUGAGAGAUGAGCCCGCGUACCAUUAGCUUGUUGGUGGGGUAAUGGCCUACCAAGGCGGCGAUGGUUAGCUGAUCUGAGAGGAUGAUCAGCCACACUGGAACUGAGACACGGUCCAGACUCCUACGGGAGGCAGCAGUGAGGAAUCUUGCGCAAUGGGGGAAACCCUGACGCAGCAACGCCGCGUGAGUGAGGAAGGCCUGGUCGUAAGACGUCUGUCGGUGGAAGAAACGACAUGGUGCGUAAUACCUAAUCUAUGCUUGUACGGUACCGCCGAAACGGAACGACGACC